This 392-nucleotide ribosomal RNA is filed under the name Diekeana insignis. RNAcentral describes it as "partial 16S ribosomal RNA". Lineage: Eukaryota; Metazoa; Arthropoda; Insecta; Coleoptera; Coccinellidae. The record is from RNAcentral.
UCAUUAGUUUUUUAAUUGAAAGCUUGUAUGAAGGGUUUGAUGAAAAAAUAACUGUUUCAAUUUUAUUUUUUUAGAAUUUUAUUUUUAAGUUAAAAAGCUUAAAUAAAAUUUAUAGACGAGAAGACCCUAUAGAGUUUGAUUUUAAAUUAAUUUUUAAAUUUUAGAAUUUAAGAUUUUUAAUUUAAUUUAAAAUUUUGUUGGGGUGACAGAAAAAUUAAAUAAACUUUUUUUUUAUAAAAACAUUAAUUUAUGAAUUUUUGAUCCAUAAAAAUGAUUAAAAGAUUAAAUUACCUUAGGGAUAACAGCGUAAUUUUUUUUGAAAGUUCUUAUUGAAAAAAAAGAUUGCGACCUCGAUGUUGGAUUAAAAUUUAUUUUUGGUGUAGAAGCUAAAA